RNAcentral lists this ribosomal RNA (480 nucleotides) under uncultured bacterium. Its description in RNAcentral is "partial 16S ribosomal RNA". It matches the Rfam family "Bacterial small subunit ribosomal RNA", at positions 28 to 506 of the family's 1533-position model. The record is from RNAcentral.
GAUGAACGCUGGCGGCGUGCCUAACACAUGCAAGUCGAACGGAGAUUACGGACGGAAGUUUUCGGAUGGAAUACUGUAAUUCUUAGUGGCGGACGGGUGAGUAACGCGUGGGCAACCUGCCCUAUACAGGGGGAUAGCAGCUGGAAACGGCUGGUAAGACCGCAUAAGUCGGCGAGACCGCAUGGUUUUGCCGGGAAAUGAGCAAUCAGGUAUAGGAUGGGCCCGCGUCCGAUUAGCCAGUUGGCAGGGUAAAAGCCUACCAAAGCAACGAUCGGUAGCCGGACUGAGAGGUCGGACGGCCACAUUGGGACUGAGACACGGCCCAAACUCCUACGGGAGGCAGCAGUGGGGGAUAUUGCACAAUGGAGGAAACUCUGAUGCAGCGACGCCGCGUGAGUGAAGAAGUAUUUCGGUAUGUAAAGCUCUAUCAGCAGGGAAGAUGAGGACGGUACCUGACUAAGAAGCCCCGGCGAACUACGU